This 407-nucleotide ribosomal RNA is filed under the name uncultured bacterium. Its description in RNAcentral is "partial 16S ribosomal RNA". It matches the Rfam family "Bacterial small subunit ribosomal RNA", at positions 28 to 526 of the family's 1533-position model. The record is from RNAcentral.
GACGAACGCUGGCGGCGUGCCUAAUACAUGCAAGUAGAACGCAGUUGCGAACGGGUGAGUAACGCGUAGGUAACUGCCUCAUAGCGGGGGAUAACUAUUGGAAACGAUAGCUAAUACCGCAUACUGUGAGAUGGACCUGCGUUGUAUUAGCUAGUUGGUGAGGUAAAGGCUCACCAAGGCGCCGAUACAUAGCCGCCCUGAGAGGGUUAUCGGCCACAUGCGUACUGAUAAACGGCCCAGACUCCUACUGUGGUGAGCUGUAGGGGAUCUUCGGCAAUGGACGGAAGUCGGACCAUGCAACGCCGCGUGAGUGAAGAAGGUUUUCGGAUCGUAAAGCUCUGUUGUUAGAGAAGCUGUAACUAACCAGAAAGGGACGGCUAACUACGUGCCAGCAGCCGCGGUAAUAC